UAGCCAGGUGCCUCAUCUCAUGCC
RNAcentral lists this microRNA (24 nucleotides) under Columba livia (rock pigeon). Its description in RNAcentral is "cli-miR-9631-5p". Lineage: Eukaryota; Metazoa; Chordata; Aves; Columbiformes; Columbidae. The record is from miRBase by way of RNAcentral.